CCUACGGGAGGCAGCAGUGGGGAAUAUUGGACAAUGGGGGCAACCCUGAUCCAGCCAUGCCGCGUGUGUGAAGAAGGCCCUCGGUUUGUAAAGCACUUUCAGUGAGGAAGAACGCCUGGUGGUUAAUACCCAUCAGGAAAGACAUCACUCACAGAAGAAGCACCGGCUAACUCCGUGCCAGCAGCCGCGGUAAUACGGAGGGUGCGAGCGUUAAUCGGAAUUACUGGGCGUAAAGCGCGCGUAGGUGGCUUGAUAAGCCGGUUGUGAAAGCCCCGGGCUCAACCUGGGAACGGCAUCCGGAACUGUCAAGCUAGAGUGCAGGAGAGGAAGGUAGAAUUCCCGGUGUAGCGGUGAAAUGCGUAGAGAUCGGGAGGAAUACCAGUGGCGAAGGCGGCCUUCUGGACUGACACUGACACUGAGGUGCGAAAGCGUGGGUAGCAAACAGGAUUAGAUACCCUGGUAGUC
RNAcentral lists this ribosomal RNA (465 nucleotides) under Vreelandella stevensii. Its description in RNAcentral is "partial 16S ribosomal RNA". It matches the Rfam family "Bacterial small subunit ribosomal RNA", at positions 338 to 795 of the family's 1533-position model. The record is from RNAcentral. Lineage: Bacteria; Pseudomonadati; Pseudomonadota; Gammaproteobacteria; Oceanospirillales; Halomonadaceae.